This 118-nucleotide small nucleolar RNA is filed under the name Gossypium hirsutum (cotton). RNAcentral's name for it is "Plant small nucleolar RNA R71". It matches the Rfam family "Plant small nucleolar RNA R71". Rfam says of the family: R71 is a member of the C/D box family of snoRNAs containing the C (UGAUGA) and D (CUGA) box motifs. Multiple nearly identical copies of this snoRNA have been identified in Arabidopsis, and it is thought to function as a 2'-O-ribose methylation guide for 18S ribosomal RNA. Lineage: Eukaryota; Viridiplantae; Streptophyta; Magnoliopsida; Malvales; Malvaceae. The record is from Rfam by way of RNAcentral.
AUGUCCUAAUGAGGGCACUUUCGUAAUAACUCAUUGAAUCACUCUUGAACUGCUCCCAUGCCUCAUAUAAAGAUUCUUCAUCAAGUUACUGAAAUGAAGUGAUUUCAUUUCGAAUCUU